CCUACGGGAGGCAGCAGUGGGGAAUAUUGCACAAUGGGGGAAACCCUGACGCAGCGACGCCGCGUGAGUGAAGAAGUAUUUCGGUAUGUAAAGCUCUAUCAGCAGGGAAGAAAUAGCGACCUUUGGGUCGCCAGACGGUACCUGAUUAAGAAGCCCCGGCUAACUACGGGCCAGCAGCCGCGGUAAUACGUAGGGGGCAAGCGUUAUCCGGAUUUACUGGGUGUAAAGGGAGCGUAGACGGCAGCGCAAGUCUGAAGUGAAAUGCCGGGGCUUAACCCCGGAACGGCUUUGGAAACUGUGCAGCUAGAGGGCCGGAGAGGUAAGGGGAAUUCCUAGGGUAGGGGUGAA
RNAcentral lists this ribosomal RNA (348 nucleotides) under uncultured bacterium. RNAcentral describes it as "partial 16S ribosomal RNA". It matches the Rfam family "Bacterial small subunit ribosomal RNA", at positions 338 to 685 of the family's 1533-position model. The record is from RNAcentral.